Molecule: ribosomal RNA, 157 nt
Filed under: uncultured bacterium
Lineage: Bacteria
Description: partial 16S ribosomal RNA
Rfam family: Bacterial small subunit ribosomal RNA
Source: RNAcentral
UGAGGAAUAUUGGUCAAUGGCCGAGAGGCUGAACCAGCCAAGUCGCGUGAGGGAAGACGGCCCUACGGUUGUAAACCUCUUUUGUCGGGGAGCAAAGCGAACCACGUGUGGUUCAUUGAGAGUACCCGAAGAAAAGCAUCGGCUAACUCCGUGCCAA